This 423-nucleotide unclassified non-coding RNA is filed under the name Bombus terrestris (buff-tailed bumblebee). RNAcentral describes it as "misc RNA ENSBTSG00005025938.1". Lineage: Eukaryota; Metazoa; Arthropoda; Insecta; Hymenoptera; Apidae. The record is from RNAcentral.
UCACUUUUAACUUCAACUUCAACUGUUACAACAAGUACUUCUGAAGUAUUAUUUACUUUAAGUCUGUAAUUAAGACAAAUAUCAAUAAUUAAAUCUAGAAUAAUUAAAGAUAACAUUUGUGACACAAACCUAAUGUAUGCAGUAUGAUUUUUUUCUGUGUAAGCAUUAAAAUGUAAUCUUAUGAUAGGCUUUGUCUGAUAUGGUGGAAUUUCCCAUAGUUCACGUGAACCUUCUGCUUCUCCUGAUGGUAAUUCUAGUUGAAAUUCUCCACCACUACUAUAUACCUCUAAUACCUUAUUCUUGUAAAGCUUCUGAGUGUGGAUUGUGCAUGUAUAUAAGUGGAGUAAAUGUUGCAUUUAAAGGUAAUUUAACAUCCACUACAGGUCUGAGUCGAUAUGGACUACUGACACUUAUUCCUUUCAC